GCGGAGGGCAGUGGAGCUAUUCUGCCCUUAUGCUCCCGCGAUAGUGAUGCCCCUGGUUUGGUAAUGGGGGAAGAAUCAUGUGCACCACCUUCUUGGUCCUCAGCACCUUGGCAUUUCUGCUGCGCCGGCGCUUCUUCAACAAAGUCGAACCGUAUGUCCUUCCUCCCUUCUUGUACUGUAGAGAAGCUAGGGUAGUAGAUGGUCAGAUCUCAGGGAGAGUGUCUGUAGGAAGGAUGCCUGGCUCGUAGCGAUAUGUGCCUCUCUUGUGCUUUUGUUUUGCUCUGAUAAUUGCUCUGUGACUACAAAGAGGACUGAUUCACAAGUUUUUAAUUUAAACUUUCCUUUUUACCUCUGUAUCCUGUUUGUUGAGGCUGCAGUCUUAGCCCCACUUACCAGGUGGAGUAAGCCCCACUGCAGCUAAAAUUAUUCUGUUUAUUGUGGAGCUUCCCUCAAUCAUAGAAGGAUCACAUUGUAUGUUGCCCCUAUUUGAAGGAUCUCACUCACAUGAGUAAAAGGUCAGUGAGAUGUGGGAAUAAUUCCGCCAGAAAGGAUAUCUGUGUGGCUGUUAUGUAACACAUCUGAAACUGAAUCCAGGUUCUACUGCCCUGGGGGGACUCAGUGGCAGGGGUCCUGUGGAAAUUUGUCCCCAGCCCACCACACCCCGACUUUAAAUUCAUAGGAUCAAGAUCUUGAAUUUCCUGGUGGGCAUUCUAAACAAACUUUGGUCUGUUGGUUCAGGACUGUAUUAUCCACCACCUUUGGGUCCUUUUCAUGAGAGUGUAGGUUAUGCCUUUCGUUUCAUUUCAAAAACACGUGGAACAAAGAAGUUAGGAAGAGACAUUAAGGUGAACAGUUUGACCGCAAAGCAUCUUUACACCCUUGCACCGGUCAAUAAAAAAUAUGAUUCGAUUUUUCUUUGCUUAUAAAUAAUGUGAAUUGGACUGGAGGAGAAAUAGCACCGUUUGAGCAAGGCUGGAUGUGGUACUCUAUGGAUGAAGACACUUAAUCGCCCCAUACCUAAGAUGGAAUGUUCCGCAAGGCCUUUCCUCCUGUGCCAAAACAUCAAGUAAAACCCUCCAGAUCCCACUAAAGAUAGCAAGGCCUUAGAGUUCUCUGUCAGGCCGGAGGAACACAUCCUAAAAUGGGCCUCCACUUUUAAGUAGUUACCUUCCAAGAUUCUUCAGCGGCUGGCAGACCUUGCCUUUUCAGUAAGAGAUGGGGGUUUAUUUAUUUAUUUUGCCUUGUUUCAAUUGUAUGUAUUUACUUUCAAAUAUAUAAUCAGCCUUUCCAACGUAAUUUGAGCCUCAGGUCUUCAUGCCACACAGUAAUGAAUAGUAUAUAUUGCGUCCUCUUCAGGAUCCCAACCACUGUGUUCUAUUGCCCACUCCCAAUUUUCCAUUUCCGCCCCCCUCCACUGGCAGAGGAAGGGGAUGAGGGGUGUGUGGACCUCCCCAGGUGUCAUCCCUGAGGGGGGUGACAUCGCUCCCCCGCCCCCCUGGGAUGCUCGUGGCCCCCCCCCCCGGCAGAUUGCCCUGCCCCCAGGUUCACAGCAUGUGACCCCUCCGGGGGCUGGAUCAGCUAGCUCCGCCUCUGCCCCCCUCCCCAGUCAAAUCAGUGUCUUGUGCCCACUGACAUUGCUCAGUCCUCUGUUUUGGAACAUUGCUCCAGUUUUUCUUUCUUUUUUACAAAAGCUUGGAAUUCCUACAAGCCUGCUGAUAUGGCCUUCUUCUGCAUAGAUGCCAUUUUGGCUGCAUGAAGAUGAGAUCUCAGAGAACUGGGUUUGCUAUUAGUAAAUCAUUUUGCAAGUCAAAGGAGGGACAGGAUAGGGAAAUGUGCCAAUUGUUGAAUUAAUCCUUUUUUUUCUUUUUCAAGCUUAUUUACCUCCUAGUAACCUUGUACCUAGCAUCACUUAGGAAUUUCAGGAAUUCUAAGAAGCCGAAAAACCAAAGCAGUUUUAUAAUCGAUGGUUAAAAACACUGUAGUUUUGAAAUGUUUGGUCCACCAUCUUGAUUCAAAAUGGCAUCCAAACAUAGGCAAAACCUGGCUCCUCAAACACAGGAAUCAUCAUGCAAAAUUUGGCUAAAAGCAGUGCUGUUUUGAAAGGUCCACUCCACCUUUUUGAUUCAAAUUGGCAUUCAGUUGUCUCCAAACACAGAUGAAAAUCUGCUCCUUGAUAUCAGGAAACACCCUGCAGAAUUUGUUUACGAUAUCUUAAGAGGUUUCCAAGUGCAGGGCAAAGAAGCAAUGUUUCAUUAUAAUAGAUUUUAUUUCGGUUCGCUGGGAUGUAUCAUUACAAGAUUUCAAUAUUCCCAGGAAAAAAGAACAGAUCCAUUAAAAGCACAUUUAAAUUACAUUUCCCCAUCCCCAAAGAAUCCUGGGAACUGUAAUUUGUUAAGUGUGCUGGGAAGUGCAACUCUGUGAGGAAAAAACUAUGAUUCCCAAGGAUCUUUGGCGGGUGGUUAAGUGUGUUUAAAAUGUCUGGUGUGUAUGCAGCCUAGAUUGGAGCUGGGGAGGCUGUGGCCCACUAAAUGUUCUUGGACUCCAACUCCCAUCAGACAUAGACAGCAUGGCCAAUUGUCAGGGAUGAUGGGAGUUGUAGUCCAUCAAAUUCUGGAAGCCGCCUGCUUCCCCCCCCCGUGGGCAGGAAGAAGUAGCACAAAAUGCUGUGUAAUUUUCUUAAAAUUCUCCCUUGUAGUUCUAACUUUGGUAUCUUAGGUCAGCAGUCAUCCUCUGAAGAACCUGACAACCAAAGUCUCCCUUGCACAUUGUACAGACAGGAAGGAUGUAGGAAGUGGUGUCCCCAAAGACCUAUGCUUUUCAACUUGUUCAUAUAUCACCUGGAUGAGCACUGAGAGAAUCAAAUUUGCUCAAGGCAGAACACCCACCCCCCAAAUAAAUAAAUAAAUAAAACCAGAAUAAUUGCAAAGAGCUCCAAAAGGAUCUUUCCAAACUGGAAAUAAAGGUAAAGGUAAAGCGACCCCUCACCGUUAAGUCCAGUCGUCGUCAACUCUGGGGUUGCAGUGGUCAUCUCCCUUUAUUGGCCGAGGGAGCCGGCGUACAGCUUCCGGGUCAUGUGGCCAGCAUGACUAAGCCACUUCUGGCAAACCAGAGCAGCACACAGAAACGCCAUUUACCUUCCCGCUGGAGCGGUACCUAUUUAUCUACUUGCACUUUGACGUGCUUUCAAACUGCUAGGUUGACAGGAGCAGGGUCCAAACAGAGGGAGCUCACCCCGUCACAGGGAUUCGAACCGCUGACCUUCUGAUCGGCAAGCCCUAGGCUCUGUGGUUUAGACCACAGCGCCAAUACAUUGGGGUGAAAUGGUAGCCUUUCAAUUCCCCCAAAGAAAGUAAGUGGUGGUGGCUUUUCUUAUUAUAAAAUGAUAUUGGGGAGUUAAGGCUGCCAUAUCACAGCUGCAUGGAUGUUUUGGGUUGUUUUUCUUUUAAGUUUUGCAUUUGAUCAAAAGCUUUGUAUCUCAAUGGUCUAUGUCAAUAUUUUGGAUAAUGUGUUAUCCACAUGCUCUCUGUAAGGUCACAUAUGCAAGAUAAUUGACCAUUUUGUUUAUAGUGAAAUAAUUUUUUUAAAAAAAUCUAUUAGGACAAAAUAUACUUACUUGACAUAUACCCGAAUUGGGUCUGAACCGGCAGUGAUUAAUCAACACUGAGACCUUGAGGUCAUAGUGAAUAGCUUGAUUCCAUAUUAGGGAUCAUUAGGAAAAGAAUUGAAACGGAAACUAUCCAUGUCAUAAUGACAUUAUAUAAAUUUGUGGCGCAAACCACACUUGGAAUACUACAGUUCUGAUUGCUGAACCUCAGAAAGGAUAUUGUAGAGCGGGAAAAGGGUUCAGAAAAGUGUGACCAAAAUCAUCAAGGGGCUGGAGCAAUUCCCCUAUGAGGAAAGGUUAAAAUGUUUUAGGACUUUUAUGCAUGAUGCAGAAAAGGGGGGUAGAGGGUUUUUUUCUCCUUGUCUCAUAUUACAAGAAUUUGGGGGCCAUCCAAAGAAGAUGGACAAUUCAAGACAGACAAAAGAAACACAUAGUCGAGCUAUGGAAUUAGAUCCCACCAGAUGAGAUGGCCAGCAACUUAGGUUUUGAAAGAAGAUUAGACAAAUUCAUGGAAGAGAAGUCUAUCAACGGCUACUAGGCAGGUGACUAUAUUGUACCUCCACUGGCAGAGGCAGUGUGCAUCUCUGCAAAGCAGUUGAUGGGCAUUACAAGUGGGGAGAGUGCUUCUGGACUCGCUUGCAGGCUUCCCACAGGCAUCAGAUUGGCCACUAUGAGGACAUGAUGCUGGACUCAGUGGGCCUUAAGGAUGAUCCAGCCAUAGGCUCUUGCUAUGUUCUUAAUCUGGCUUUUAGAAUAGAGCAGGGCUUAUUAAAUUUGUGCCUGUGGGCACAAUGGUGCUCAUGAUAUUUUCUCUUAGCGCACAUGAAAGCUCUGAGCCCCCACAACACUGCCCCCUUGGUCAUGAGGCAGCGAGGGUGGCUAUAUUUGUCUCCCUUGGAACGUGUGUAGAGAUGAAGGAGGAAGUUGGAAGAGUGAUGUUCUUUCCCACUUCUUCUUUCAGGUCUGUGUGGGUUUUACUCGGCUGAAAGACACAUGUUAAAAGGAAACAAUUAUCUAAGGGCCUCUAGGUAUCGUCUUUAUUACACAGUCAGGAUUAGUUGUUCUGAUGCUGCUGUUUGGGUCAUCACAUGCAAUCCUGCUCUCAGUAUGGUUUGUCACAUUGCCAGUGUGGUGUAGUGGUUAAGAGCGAUAGACUCGUAAUCUGGGGAACCGGGUUCGCUUCCCCGCUCCUCCACAUGCAGCUGCUGGGUGACCUUGGGCCAGUCACACUUCUUUGAAGUCUCUCAGCCCCACUCACCUCACAGAGUGUUUGUUGUGGGGGAGGAAGGGAAAGGAGAAUGUUAGCCGUUUUGAGACUCCUUUGGGUAGUGAUAAAGCGGGAUAUCAAAGCCAAACUCUUCUUCUUCUCCACUUCGAAUCAGUGCAUAGCUCGUUGCAUCCUGCUGAAAUCCCACAACAUUUUAUACACCACAAAUAUUCUAGUUUGUUUUCUUUUCUUUUCUGCUUUUAUUGUGCUAUAGCCCUCAGGAUAGCAAUAUGUGGUAACACUGGCAUCAAAGAACGAAGCAAAGCAGAAUAAAACUACCAGUAAUGCACUAGCAAUGUAUCAAUAACAUGUUGCAGAAUAUACCUGCAACAAAACACCAGUCUGGAGGGGCCCUAAAUCCAGCACAGCCUACUUAAAAAGCAACAACAACCAAAGCCACAUUCUGUUAUUUCGGUGCACUGCGACAUUGCGGAAUACAACCCUGGUUACAAGGCGCCUCUGCAGAGAGUGCAGCUGUUCUCUGCAAACAAGAGUCUCUCAGCUCAGGGACAUGCAAAUCUAUUUUUCAGCCAAGCCUGGAGUCUGGCUGAAAGUGGGUAGGUGAAAUUGACAUUUAAAGAGCCGUAAUACCUCAGCCAAUUAUCAUCCAAAAUUGGGUAUAGUUGAGCUCAGUUGCAUAGAUGAGAUGAUAGCAUGUUCCCUUCAAAGGGAAAUUAAGGUGCAGCCGCCAUUUGUGUUUCACAGAUUAACAAGCGAGAGGUUAAUUUGGGGUUUUUCAGUUUGCGUGUAUCAACAAAAUUGGUCAACCAGGAGGUCACAGUGGUACUUCGGGUUACAUACGCUUCAGAUUACAUACGCUUCGGAUUACAUACUCCGCUAACACAGAAAUAGUACCUCGGGUUAAGAACUUUGCUUCAGGAUGAGAACAGAAAUCAUGCUCUGGUGUCGCGGCAGCAGCGGGAGGCCCCAUUAGCUAAAGUGGUGCUUCAAGUUAAGAACAGUUUCAGGUUAAGAACGGACCUCCAGAACGAAUUACGUAAGUACUUAACCCGAGGUACCACUGUAUCAGUAUUCCUUGCAGUGCUGCGGCUAGUUAAAUAGCAAAGCCCACUGAAUAAGUUGUUACUUGGGAGUACUGGGAAAGGGGAGCGUAGAGCUGUACGGUGAAGCCAAGAAAGAGGGAAUUCAGUGUAGAGGAAAGGGUGGUGGAACAUCUGCUUUGCAUGCAGAAAGUCCCAGGAUAAGUCCCUGGCAUCUUCAGGCAGGGCUUGGGAGAGAUGCCCUGGCUGAAACCCUGAAGAGCUGCCGUCAGUCAGCAUGCAGACAAUACUGAGCUACAUGGACUGAUGGUUUGACAGUGUAAGGCGCUUCCCUAUGUUCCUAUAUGGGCCUGUAGCUCAUGAGGAGGCCUUAUGUGCACUUUUCCAUCCUUCUCUCUUUGUGUGAGCUUCCACAAAUAGUUUGCAGGGUAGCUGUGAUGGGUGUUAGCAGCAGCUAGCAUUGGAACUUUAUCAAGUUGGAUGUGUGUUCACAUCAGAGAUCGCAGAUUGUUUCUGGUUGCUUCUUUCCCCCUUUUUAUUAUCUAUUAUUAUUUCUUGAUUUUUUCAAAAUUCUCUCUCCCCAAGAACUCAAUAUACAUGGUGGGGUCUGGUCCUAGAGAUUUGGGGAGCUGCAGAUUAAGCCAAAUACAGUUUCUGUACAGAGCCUAGAAAUCUCUGUUUUCAUUCUCUCUCUUUAAAGGAAUUCCUGGUCGAAGCCCAAAUAUAUCUUGUGGGUGGCUAGAAUCCAGUCCCCUGCCCCCACCAGACCAAAAAGAGAGUGCAUUUUGGGGAAAUCCAGCAUGUUGGAAAUAUUUUUAUUCAGAAAGCCCUUUUAUUUUUAUGAACAGUUUCUUUUCUAAUUUUAAAAGCUGGCUUAUACGUGUAUAGGUGUGUAUAUUAAGAAGUAAUUAAACGGAGUUCAGUAUGCAGUGAGUCCCCAGCAGAUUCCCCCAAGACAAAGCUGCUUCCAGGCAAUCUGUUCAUUGAGUCUUCCUCCUGAUCUGUUUUGCUAGGAGAUUAGGCAACAGUAGCUAUUUAAUGGGCAUUUACUUUCGUUUGCAGCAAAAAAUGUCACCCACCCUUUGAAGUGCAUUUUCUCUUGGUCAUUUCCUGUUUUUCUUUUUGUAUGCCGCUUUGGGAACCAGGUGGUGGAAAUAGGAGUUAUACAUCUUGAAAAUAAAUAAUGAACUUCCGCCAGCAUUUUAGAUCUGAGUUGCCAGGCUCAAUCAUAAAAAUGGGCCGGCAGAACAUGUGCAGGCAAUGUAUCCAAGCCUCAGAAGCAGAACUAGGAAUAGCAUCUCACUGUUGCCGACACACUAAUGUGUUUUUCAUCUGUAUGAAGCGCAGCCCGCUAUCAGUCACACAGUCAAGAGGCAUAUUUCUGAAAGAUGAGCAGGCAGCCAAGCACAUCUCCUAUUAAGCGAAGAGUGAUGUAACAUAGAGCAGUGAUCCCUCUGCAACAUAAAUGCCUGAGCUUCUUUUGUUGCUGGUACAUAACAGAAAAGCGGCAAGUAGCACUUCAGUCAAAGGAAGACUGAUGAGCAUCAUUUCAACAAGCGGAAGGGCAAUUAGGGGACAUCAAGAUUCUCUUGUACAUUUGACCCUCUUCAGAUCCUGCGGUCUUUUUAUAUCAUGUCGGCCUUGGGUGUUUCUCAUGGACUUGGCAUCAGGUCUCAAAUUUCUUUAAUGCACACAGAGAAUGUCUGGAGCUUCAGACAUUAGAGGAGAGGCUCAAAAACAGCUGUUUGAUAGCCAGGUAAAAUAACUUCUAUAUAUCUAUAAAAGCCUGCUCUCACGGUACUGCUACACUCUUUCAACAGAAAUAAAGGCAAAAGAGAGUUAUUCAGAAAGGACCAGGCUAAAUUCUCUGCGGCUCCUAUGGGGUUCUGUGGAAUGAAGUUUGCAAUCAGGGACGCAGCUGAGAGGGGUAAAAGUUGCCCCUUCAUCUCAUUACUAGGGUUACUAGGAUUACUAGGUUCAAAUCCCUGCGACAGGGUGAGCUCCCGUUGCUCUGUCCCAGCUCCUGCCAACCUAGCAGUUUGAAAGCAUACCAGUGCAAGUAGAUAAAUAGGUACCGCUGCGGCGGGAAGGUAAAUGGCGUUUCCGUGCACUCUAAUUAACGUUACGGUGUUCCGUUGCACCAGAAGCAGUUUAGUCAUGCUGGCCGCAUGACCCGGAAAGCUGUCUGUGGACAAAUGCUGGCUCCCUCGGCCUGAAAGCAAGAUGAGCGCCGCAACCCCAUAGUCGCCUUUGACUGGACUUAACCAUCCAGGGGCCCUUUACCUUUUACCUACCUUUACUAGGGACAGCAAUCAGGUUUUUCCUGUUUCCCGUUGGUGCCACCCAGGAUUCUACUUUGUUUUCUUAUUCUCCUUGGUGGAAGAAAUCACUGCCAUUCACUCUUAAUGAGGAAAAUUAAAGCACUGCAUUGGCAGACACUGUUGCAAUGAGGGCAAUAACUGUCCUUAACCCCUGGCAUGAGACUCAUCUUUUCAGCUGUUAAUCGUGUUAUAGGAAUCCUAAGGUCUUAUACAUAUAUAGAAUAAAUGUUCAUAAAUGUACAAGGCAAACACACAUGCAUAAGUAUAGUGUCUGAAACAGUGCAGGAGAGCAAUCCUGAAGCCAUUUUGACUCUCCCAAAUUGACUUCAAAUAUUUCUCUGCAAGGAGAAAGGAAAUGGGAAAAGCUUUCCAGUUGUCUUUGGACUGUAGGGGCUUACACCUCCGUUUGCAAAUACAGUCUGGCAAGCAUCUGUUAAGCUGAGCAAACUAUCAACAUAUUAUCAUAAUAUAAUAAUAAUACAAUUUUUAUAUCCCGCCCUCCCCAGCCGAAGCUGGGCUCAGAGCGGCUAGCAACAGUAAAAAUAACACAGUUUACAUAAAAUCACAAUCAGUUAAUUGAAAUACAUUCUAAAAUCAAUUCAUUCUAAAAUCAAUUCAGAGUCAAUAAGAAAAAACUGCUCCUUUAUCCCUUAUGGGGUAUCCAAGAGCCCAUAUAGAGUCCUUAUGUAGGUUCCCUAUUGGUAGGAGAAAAUAACAGAGGCCAACCCGAGAAUAUUGAGAAGCAAAGCAGCUGAUAAGCCUGAUCUUUAUUGAUCUGUUGCAAAAGGGUCCUCACUCACCACACGGAGGAGGGUAGAGGAACCCAGAACAAAGGUGUGCCUGCCCUUAUAUAGACAUUUUAAAUUCCCUGCCCUGGAGCUCAAGACCACCCCUCCAUACAUCAUACAUACAUCACAGAAGGGGUGUAACCUAAGACCACCCCCCAGAUACAUCAUACCUACAUCACAGAAAAGGCGGUCUACAGCAGAAAUCUAAGUGUGUUGUUUAUCUCGUCUGACAGGUUACCUGUUUAAUGGUCACUUGAUUAGAUUGCCUUGGGAGCCUGGCUAGUCUUUUGUAAUGAUAAAUACUUAGUUCCUGAGCCAGGUCACAGGCUCACACCCUAUUCAUAUCUUAAAUGUGCCCUUAAGACAGGAUUUGAGAAGGAACCGACAAUGGGGAGGCUUUUCCAUUUUCCUUUGACCUUGCAGAGAAAACAUUUGCUCAGUCUGGGAAUCAAAAUGGUUUCAGGUCGGUCUUCCUGUGCUGAUCUAUGUAUGUGCUUGGUUGGUACACUUAUGAACAUUUAACGUAUAUCUAAGACCUCAAAAUUCCUAUCACAAUAGGGAGUCUCAGCAACAAAUAUUUGUGAGCAUCCACCAUUAUAGAAGAUACUAGGAAGGAUGCUGCCUUUGAAAUGUCAAAUCUCUUUUCUAUAUGAACAGUUAAGAAUGUAUAAGGAGAACAGAACAGAACUGCUAUUAUAAAUAACUGUUCUUGAAGUAAAGCAAGCUGGCAGACUAAAUAUCUACAUUAAUCUCAGCACUAUAUCCUGUGGUAGGUGGAAUGUAAUAAUAAAAUGUCUGCUUUUGCACCAUGCAGAUUUUAAAAAAGCCUAUUUUCAGAAUGUAAUCUCUUAUUUGAAAUCAGAUAAUAACCCCUCUAGUUUGUCUGCAUAUCUGUUAGCAUUCUAGUUUAUUGCCUUAAGUUGGUAGGAACACCUUAGAUUUAUCAUUGAUUUUAAAUAAGAAACCUUAGCCACCCCUUUCAUUCAUCUUCACAGUAUCUCAUCUUCUGUGCAUUUUGCUCGGCAAAGAAACAAACAGCUGUAUAUUAUGUUCAGGGACAAAAUGUCAGUCAGAUGUUUUGCCCCACUAGCCAAAUACCUCAUCACUAUCCAUAGAAGUGAUACCUUUGUGUCCAGGGCACUUUUAGAAGGUAGGCUGGAGUCAGGUUACAGACUUUUCAGCAUGUUGAAGGUGAUAUCACAGAGGUAUUGUUGGCUGUGUUCUACACACUGAAUGACUCCCACUUAUAACUCUGGGAAAGAGGUUUUGAAGGUUUUUGCAGGCUUCCCCCCAAAACCCUGCAAAACCUGUUUGACCACAUAGGAAAUGUGUUUGUGGGGAUGAAUCAUCUAGCAAGGGCUAUGAUUCUUCUAUCAAACCUUGAAAUCUAUUUAGAAGUUUUCUUUAUAAUUAAGCGGCAUACAAAUGCUGUUAAAAAUACUUUCUUGGAAAGUACCCCUCCUUCUCCAGUCUUACAGUGUCUGCAAAGUUAUAUUUAUUUGUAUACUCUCUCUCUCUCUCUCUCUCUCUCUCUCUCUCUCUGUGCCACUUUUUGAGGCAAAAGCCUGCCUAAAAUGGCUUACAUAAGAAGAGAAACAUAACAUGACAAUAUCCCAUUUCAAUAAAAUGAAAUCAGUUAAAAGAGCAGUUUAAGAUAACUCACAAUUCACAAACCAUACCAGAAUGAGGUGAGAAACCUCCAGUGUAAAUAUUCCACUGAUGGUGAAAGGGAGUUAACCAUCUCUUUCAAAUAAAAAGUAUAAUAAUAAUAAUAAUAAUAAUAAUAAUAAUAAUAAUAAAUGUGUUAGGGAGUAUUGAGAAUCAAAGAUAAGAUUUGGUCAGCUUGACAUUCAAACUCCAAUUUUAGAAGGCAGCAGGGAAAAUCAGCUUCUACUUGUUAUCGGUUGUGUAUAAUCCGGAAAGCUCUCCCUUCUCCCAUCCUGUUUACAAUACAUAGCUAAUUGCUGAUCAUUCUGAUUUGUGUAUCCCCAAGUGCAGUAAGGGAAUUUCCAAGUUCCUGGCCAGACUUAACUCAAUAGUGACUCUUCCUGCAAUUAUUAAUCUGAAUGAGCAUGGGGAAUGGAAACCUCAGCCUGUUCUAAACUUUGUGGAUUGGCUUUUGUCACAAGCCCUGCCACUUCCCAGUUUCUAUGACUUUAUAUUUUAAUCCUCAAAAAGUUUGGAUUGGUUCAUAUCAUAUCAAGGCGAAAGUGGUUGUCCUUUUUGCAGUCUUAAUGCUGUAUCAGUUUUUUUAAAGGUACAACAAGACCAGCAGAUCCCUCCCACGGUGCUGAAUUUUACAUGGUGUGUGUAUAAGUUUACAUAUCUGGCCAACAGCAGCCCCAGGUCAGAGAUGACUGGGAAACCAUGUGGAUGUUGUGCCAUUUUGGACGUCUGAAAUUCCUUGAUCAAAGCACUUUAGGAACAUGUAAGCCUAUGAAGUCCUGCUUGGUUGUUCUACACAAGUGAAGCAGCGAAGAAAGAGACUCACUGCAGCCGUCCUUUGUUUGCUAAAUCUGAUGAUAUGGGCACUUUUGCUUGUUUCCUGCAAUAUAAUAUUGCAUUCCGUAAGAGUUUGUUUAAAGGAGAUCAUGGAAGAGAUUUAGGUUUUAUGAAAGAGACUGUCUAGAUUGCUACAGUAUGCAAAGAAAAGAACUUUAUCUCCAGAGUGUCCCCACCACACUGUGGCACGUGAUUGUUCCAGGUUUUUAGAGGAAAGUGCCAAAAAAGAGAAAUAUCUCACAAUUGCCAGUAAAUAGUUCUGGAGGUAUUUAUCUAAUUUAGCACUUCAUUCUUGUAUGCUUCCUAUUCUAGUUGUUGCUGUUUUUUCAAAAAAAUUUUUUAGAGUAGCCUGUUUUAAGGUUUUGAAUCCAGGAUUGUCUGUCUCCUUAAUCCUUGUAAACAAAGGCUGAUGAGAAGGAGAAAUAGCUUUUGCAAACAGAUAGAAGUGGCGGAAGAACAGGGCUGGCAGGAGUAAUUUUGCUGCCUGAGGCAGAGGACAAGAUGGUACUCUGUCUUCCAUGUAACUGAAGCCAACGGAGAGGUAGGGCUUGCCCACAUGUGAGUAAUAUGUUACUGCCAAGAUACUCCUUUUACCAUUGAAUUUGCUUUUAGUGGUCCACACAAUGUUCUCCAGUUACAAAGCCAAUGUUUUCUGGCCAUACCAAUGGGAGCUUCAGUGUGUUGGAUCAAUCCUGCUGAAGGUUCAAGUCCGUGGCUCAAAACGAGUGUGUUGCAGGAAACCUGCCCCCCCAAUCAUUUAGUUUGUACAAACUCCACACACACACACACACACACACACACACACACACUCACACAUGACAUACACAAUGUUUCUGUUAUAAAUUCAUAGAAAAUCAACUGUGCAUCGGAUCUACACCGUUCCACUUUAUUUUGCUCCAUAAAGAAAGGACUAUCAAAGGCGGAAGGUUUGAUACAGGGUGGCCAUAAUCCCUUGAGCGUACCAACACGUACUCAGGAGCCCUACCCAGUUGGCAUGCCAACCAUGAUGGUCCCAGAGAGAAGACCAUCAAGGCCACAAAGAACUUGCAUAUGGGAGUGGAUUCAGCAUGGACUGAGACAAAGGACAAUGAUCAGCUCUUCCCUCUGGGGGCAGGAUACUGCAAACUCCCCUUUGUCCUCUGGAAAGUACUCAUGGGGAGGGGGAAAGGAGGGACCAGCCAGGUGACAAGAUACUCAGGUUACCUCCACAACUCCUCCCGUAACCCCUCCUUUUUGUGAUGUAUCAAUGAUGUAGUCAUGAUGUAGUUAUGAUGUAGUCUUAGGGGUGUAACAUGGGGAUUAGUGGCUAAUAAAAGUUGGGGUCUUCUUUUGUUCAGGGCUUCCAUCUUGUUUCACCUGGUGGCAGGUGGGAGUCCUGUCGCGACAGUCUUCAAUAAAGACCAAGCCUACUGGCUGCUAUUUUGCUCUGGUAUUCCUCGCUGGUGUCCUUGUUUUUUGUCCAAGGGAGCCUUCAGAUUUCUCCAUUAACAGUGGGAUGGGGCUGGUGGAGGGGAGCAGCAUGUGGAUUAGGGCCAAGUACUUUGGGGCAAGGAGCUGCAAAUACACAGUAAAUGUUCAGCACAUUUAAUGGACAAGCACAUCAUUGACUAUUCAUUUAAUAGUCUGGCUGUAGAAUAGCAUCCUACCAUGCCACUGGGCAACAGGCCAGCUUAAGGAGUGAUAGGAAGGCAUACUCAGCUCUCUUCCUCCAAACCUCCUUGCUGCUGCCAGCCUCCCAGCACCUGCCACCUGAGGCACUUUGUCUCAUUCUGCCUAAUGCCUAAUGGCAGGGCUAGGCCUGCUGAACAGGCUUGGUAAAGAACUUUCCCUUCUGUGUAGAAUCAACUAGGAAUUUAAAGUAGAAAAAUUCUUCUUCUUUUUUUUCAAAGACAAAGAACCUUACAGUUGAUAAAGCAGAGGAAGCAAAAACUCAUCAGCAACUGAUCAUCUGGAAAAGUCCUAGCAAAAGAAUGGGUAGUUUUUGAUUACUUCUGACAUUUGAGCUGUCAUAGGAUUUUCCAGUUUUAUAUUAAACCAUUCAAGGAAAGGAAACAUUUCUUUGCUCCAGGAUUCCCCCCACCCAUUGAUUUCCAUAUGCAUUUGUCAUGGACCCAUAAUGAGUAAUUUGUGAUUCCUUAAUGCAUAGCAACAGAGCUCAUCUGUGGAGAGGAAAGGAUUAUUAGGCAAUCUGGCACAAAAGAAGGACUGGUUUAAACGAGUUCAAUUAAUGCUGGUGUGAUAGGGGACAUCCGGCUCUGCUCUCAGCAUAGCGGAUGGUCAUGGUGCUAUCUGUUCCUCUAUGAAUCCAGCAGACUGUGGAGCUUGUCCCCCCCCCCUUUCAUGGACUCCUGUUAUUAACAUAUACAGUGGUACCUCGGGUUACAUACGCUUCAGGUUACAGACUCCGCUAACCCGGAAAUAGUACCUCGGGUUAAGAACUUUGCUUCAGGAUGAGAACAGAAAUUGUGCUCCGGCAGCACAGCAGCAGCAGGAGGCCCCAUUAGCUAAAGUGGUGCUUCAGGUUAAGAAGAGUUUCAGGUUAAGAACAGACCUCCAGAAUGAAUUAAGUUCUUAACCCGAGGUACCACUGUACUGCUAUUUUUCUUUCUGUGAUCUUAACAUGUGGGUCACAACUCACCUACCUAGAAAUAUACUUUGCCCCUUCUGAACCCCCGCCUCAAAAAAAAUUCUGGUGCUGCCACUGGCCAUGUUCCUGCCAUGAAACAAACCAGUCUUGUUGUGUGCAAACAGCAUUUGAGGCCUCAGGAGGUCAGUAGCGGCCAGCUAAAGGACCCCUGACCAUUAGGUCCAGUUGUGGCCGACUCUGGGGUUGUGGCGCUCAUCUCGCUUUAUUGGUCGAGGGAGCUGGCUUCUGGUCCCCAACCUGAAGAAAGGAUCUUCUGCUUCUAGUUGCUGCCUUGGAAGAUGUAUCUGAGUGAACUGAGGCUCUUUUGCUUUCUAUCUUUCAGGGAAGGAACAGAAGGAAGCAAGCAGGAGGUUGGGUCAGAUCCCCCGCCAAGGUAAUGAAGGAUGCUUUUAUGCAAAUCUCUCUUUCAUUUCGGGGAGAUUUGCACAGUUGAAGUUCCUGGUGGAUUAUAGUUGUAAUCAGUUUUAAUGCAGCCAUUUCUACUUUCUUUAGUUCCAUGGUCUUAGUUAAAGAUGGAUGGGGCAAUUCAAAAUACACACAACUUUGUGGGAGGCUGAACUGGGUGGGGGUGUAACUUGAAAAAAGAGACAUUGCACAUACUUUUGUAAACCAAGAAAUCUUAAAAAAAAUACUUAAAAUAAAGAAAAGAACAUCACUUCCCUCUCCGUCCACUAAAUGUCCAGGUGAGCAAAAGUGCCCCCUGGCAGGAUCCAUGUUAGCAGCUACAAGAGGAAGGUGUUGGAACAAGUUGUUCCAAGGGCAGGGAGUGGAAGGAGCUAAGAUCCACUGGUUUCACUGCUGUCAAAUGAUGGCAUCAGGCCUGAUCUCACCAUUAUUGCUGAACCAGCUCCAGGUUAGUACAGUAAUCUUCUUGGCCCUCCAUUCUGCCCUGGCCACUGUGUGUCCACCAUUUUGGACAGGUGUUCAUACAAGGCCGUACAUUACUCACACAGAAUUAGCUAAAGGAUUGCAACUGGAAGGUUUUGUCUUACAAGGUGAGGAUGAUGUACUGUAAUGACUGUAAGCUACACAGUGUUUUGUUUUUUGCUGUGUUCAGGGAAACCAGAAAUUAAUCUCUGGUUCCUGUGCGAGUCAAUCUGAUCAGAGAUGAGUGGAAGAGAAAGAAUAAGUACCAACACCAGCUGAUGGAAAAUUCACUGCCUUUUUGUAAUACAAUGGUAAGUGCGUGGGAGAUAUAGGGGCAGGGGAGAAGAGGGCCUCCAGAAUGGGGUCAGAGUCCAAUGAGUCUUGAAAUUAAAUACAGACUGAUAAGUAGGGCUGCCAUAUGUCUGGGUUUCCCCUGAAACGUCUGGAAAUUGGGCUUUGUGAAUGGCGUCUUGGCGGAUUUUUGCCAAAUUGGCAAAAUGUCUGGGAAUUCCCAGAUGUAUGGCAAGUGGGGUGAUGCUUAACAAACAAAAAAGCCGAACAACUUUGUCCGCAUUUUCAAUUUUUGAGGUUUGAUUUUUGCUGCCCAACUCUGCAUGGAACUCUGAGUCCCCUAAUGAUCCUUAAGCAAUAAGUAGCAAGGCAUUUCUGCUUUAACCCAAUAAUUCCACUCUGUUCUCAAAGACCAUAGGAGCACAGGAUGCUGCCUUAUCCUGAGUCAGACCAACAGGCUAUCUAGUUCAGUGUUGUUGACACUGAUUACCAGUAGAUCUCCAGCAUUUUACACAGGCCACUUUCCCAGUUCUACCUGCAGAAGCCGGGGAUUCAAACAGGAAUCAUAUGCAUGCAGAACAGAUGCUCUACAGCUGAGCAAUGGCCCUUAUAGAGAGUCUAGAAAUCAGUGGACGGAUACUAGUCUAAUUCAGAAAAAGUCUAGCCAUUACAUCUUUAUAAAGUGAGAGAUCACUUCUUUUGUUUUUACUUAGGCUGCAGUCCUGUACAUAUUUAGGAGUAAGUCCCGUUGAACAGAAUUGGAUUAACUUGUUUAGCAUUGCACUGCUGUGCAUUUAGCGUCACAUAAGCAGCAAGUAUUUUUAAAAAAUAGCCAUGUUGGACCACUUGACAAAGCAUUAGCAGCAGUAGCAGCUGUAUUUGGUUGCUAGUAUCACAGCAAAUUUUUGGAGCCCAUUAUUCCUCCACUGCCCAUUCUAAUACAGUGGUACCUUGGUUUACGAACUUAAUCCGUUCUGGAAGUCUGUUCUUAAACCAAAGCCAUUCUUAAACUGAGGCACACUUUUCCUAAUGAGGCCACCCGCUGCUGGUGCCCUUCCACCGUUUGGCUUCCAUUCGUAGACCAAGGUAAAGUUCACUAACCGGAACACUACUUCCGGUUUUGCAGAGUUUGUAAACCUAAUAGUUCAUAAACAGGACUGCUCUUAAACCGAGGUACCACUGUAGCUUAAACCGGAUGAAGCUCUGACUAGGCCAGGCUCUGUAGGGAAAGGGUACUGCUCAAAAUGAUUCUGUGUCACAGUCUGCACAGGCCUUUGUCGUGUCCUCACAUUUUGCUUCGCCUUUCAGGUUCACUCAGUCACCUCCCUGCUCAGGUCAAAAAGCGCAGGUGAUGCCAAAGCCUCAGCUUGCCUACAGGAAUGUUUAAUGUCGAGCAAGUUACAGAAGUCCGGAAUGGUGGGCUGGAGGAAGAAAUGUUGAAGGCAGCCGGCUCUGUUUUAAUAACUCCCUGUAACCAAGGUGGGCCACCUUUUCGAGUAAGUCUUGGGAAAGAGGAAAUGAGGUCACCUUGGAAAACAUGGUGGCUGAGAGGAUAUGGCACACAGCCUGGUAAAAGAAGUCACCUCCAUGGUAUCAGAAGCCACAUGAAAGUCUCUGAGAGUGAUGUUAUCUCAAAGUAGUGAGAAGAGGCACCCAGAGGAAGGUUUCUCCAUUCCCUGAAUUCAGGGAGCUACACGCUGUGUACAAAGAUGUUAAUACCAUUUUCUUCAAUGGUAUUUUUUCCAAUAACUCUUUCGUUAUUGGAUCAGAACAGUAAUAGCUAAUUGAUCACACAAAAGGUUUGACAAACUGGGUGAAGUGUAGGUUGCAUUUUCAAUUGCACCCCACAGUAUGAUCACAUGCUUUUGACAAAAUGAAGUUAUUCCAAAUUUAGGCCUAAAGCAUAGGUGGUCUUACAUGCAUGAGCACGGAUGGAUUCUCAAAAUUGCACAUUCCCAAUGUACCCCCUCUCCCUCUCUCCUUGUACAGUACAUGACAAUUCUCUUCCUCCUUUCUUGGUUUGGGCACAAAAUGCUAAGGUAAACUAUGGUUUGGUCUUACACCUAGGUUCUCCAUAUCUUUCUUGUUUGGCUCUGAAACUCAGCUUCCUUAUAUAUAGGAAUGAUACUUGAUAAUUACCUACAGAGAUUAGCAUUGCUCAUCAUGUUCAAAGUAUUGGUAUGAGUCCUGUAAGUAUUUAAACAGCAGUCACAGGUGUAAACCUGGCUUUGCAAUUUUCAAAACAGACAUACAGUUCAGAAAGUCAACUCCUGGAUCAUCCUAUGUUUCCCUCCAUAUCUUCAGGUAGCCUGUCCAAACAAAAUUUAAAGCAGCAAUUGUGGGGCCGUUUGUUGCUCACAGCAGUAGCUGGCAGGAUGCUUUAAACAGUGGGAGUGCACCCUCUUCAUCAUCCUUAUGCUUUGCUCCCCACAAAGGAGGAUUUUGUGCAGCACUACAGAAAUAGUGAAUGAGAUGAGAGUUCGGAUUUCUUAUUCUGGAUUUGGAAAUGCAACAUGAAGAACAAGAGAAAAAACACCCAUUCAGCUCCCAUGCUGAGGUUUCCACCGGCAGGCAUAUUGCAAGACAUCUGGGGUUGCUCCAGAACCUGAGAUGCUUGAUGGGGAUGAAAUGAGCUGAGUAGCUUGGUAUUGUACUCUUGUCUAAACUGUAAGCUUUCUAGGGGAGAUUGACCUUGAUGCAACAGUACAAAUUGUGAACAGCAUCGAAGGCAACUUCAAGAAGUGACUGACAGAAGUUUACCUUUGAGUUUCCUUCUGUGAGCUUCCCAACUUCUCCUUCAACUCUGGGCUUAGAUUUUUUGUUUGUUUGUAAUGACUACAAAGUUCUUUUAAUCAGAUUUCCUUGUCCCUCCUGGAGCAUUUAAUUAAGUCUUUACAACCCCCUGCUCCAUACUCCUAAUGAUGUUUUUCGGUCCGGAAAUAAUGUCUCUCAUCAAGGGGGAGAAAAGUCGCUACUCUGUUGGGGCCUUUUCCAUUUUUGCAGCUGAUUACAAGCAAAAAAAGGAGGACACAGAAGGCACACCUAAUUAGAAAUAGAUUGGGUGAAGGAGCCAGAAAGGCAAUUGCAGGCUUUGAGGAAAGGCUAUGCAAAUGAGGGAGUAGAAGGGUGAGCUGUGAAGGCCGGACAAAGAAGUUUUAUUUACAUGCUGCAACAGGGUCUUUUCAAGCUUGUAGACUGGUACCCUGUGGCAUCUCUUAUGUGGCUUUUCUCCACCUCUCCAUAGGUUGUAGCUCUCUCACACUUUUAUCUGCCUCAUUGAUAUCACACACACACACAAAAUGCAGAUUAAUAACAUGGAAAAAACAUUAUACAAAUUAAGUAAAAGUGCACAAGUUUAAUCUUGGCUAUAGUAAGAAAUCUGCUUUAUAUUGACCACUUCUGGUGAGAUAGCUCCAAGGCAUUUUCUUAGAAUAAGCUUCCUUAUAUAAUCAGUUUGUUGAUCAAUUCUUUGUUGAUCAAUAUUUCGUUUGGAUUUUUGAGCAGAGUUAGUUUUAAAAUCAAACUACAACCGGAUGUGAACUAAUCAAUAGUGGUAAUAAAAAUAUAGCUGUCAACUAAAAUAGAGAUUGCCUAUAACAGGCAUAAAUUUACAACACUAUCAAUAGAACAUGGAGAAUUGCCAAAAUGGCAAAGAAAACAGAAUACCUGUAUAUAAUGAUAGGCAGCUUUGAUAAAUCUUGACUUCAUGUACUGACAUCAUGAAAAUGAGUUCAAUUUGUUAACAUAUAUAAGCGUUUUCCGUUGUCUACUUCAUUAUCUUGUAUUUGUAAUGUUGUAUAAUCAGUGUCUUUUUCUUCUUUUGUACUCCUGCAUUUGAAAGAAUGACUAAAAAGAGACGUGAAAAAAGGAG
This is a non-coding RNA of Podarcis lilfordi (Lilford's wall lizard), 19159 nucleotides long. The record is from the annotation of a GenBank genome assembly. Lineage: Eukaryota; Metazoa; Chordata; Lepidosauria; Squamata; Lacertidae.